RNAcentral lists this ribosomal RNA (717 nucleotides) under Actinomortierella wolfii. RNAcentral describes it as "eukaryotic LSU rRNA". It matches the Rfam family "Eukaryotic large subunit ribosomal RNA", at positions 66 to 640 of the family's 3401-position model. The record is from RNAcentral. Lineage: Eukaryota; Fungi; Mortierellomycota; Mortierellomycetes; Mortierellales; Mortierellaceae.
UAACAAGGAUUCCCCUAGUAACGGCGAGUGAAGCGGGAAGAGCUCAAAUUUAAAAUCUGGCCGGGUUACCGGUCCGAGUUGUAGUUUAAAGAAGUGUUUUCGGCGGCAACCUGGGUACAAGUCCUUUGGAACAGGGCAUCAUAGAGGGUGAGAAUCCCGUCCAUGACUCAGUGGAUGCUGCUAUGUGAUACACUUUCAAAGAGUCGAGUUGUUUGGGAUUGCAGCUCAAAAUGGGUGGUAAAUUUCAUCUAAAGCUAAAUACAGGCGAGAGACCGAUAGCGAACAAGUACCGUGAGGGAAAGAUGAAAAGAACUUUGAAAAGAGAGUUAAACAGUGCGUGAAAUUGUUGAAAGGGAAACGUUUGGCACCAGUCAUGCGUUCAGGAAAUCAGUCUAUCGAGGUGGGGAGCUGCAGAGGUUUGGACCGCAAGGCCAGCUUUUGUUGCAUUUCUGUCUGGAUGGAUGCACUUUUCUGUAUGCAGGUCAACAUCAGUUUUGUUCGCCGGACAAAACCUCAAGAGAAUGUGGCAGCUUUGGCUGUGUUAUAGCUCUGGGGCGAUACGGUGGGUGAGACUGAGGCUUUCAGUGUGUGCUUUCGGGCAAGGCUGACCGGGUGCUGCGGGCCAGUACGAGGUACAAUACAUGUAUUUUGCUUCGUGUCUGGUUUGCACUCGCUCGAAUCGGCUCUUCCACGCUUAGGAUGUUGACAUAAUGGUCU